RNAcentral lists this ribosomal RNA (253 nucleotides) under uncultured bacterium. RNAcentral describes it as "partial 16S ribosomal RNA". It matches the Rfam family "Bacterial small subunit ribosomal RNA", at positions 524 to 776 of the family's 1533-position model. The record is from RNAcentral.
GACGGAGGGUGCGAGCGUUGUUCGGAUUGACUGGGCGUAAAGGGCGUGUAGGCGGUCAGCCAAGUCUGGUGUGAAAGCCCGGGGCUCAGCUCCGGAAGUGCGCCGGAAACUAGCUGGCUGGAGCGCGGUAGAGGAGGGUGGAAUUCCUGGUGUAGCGGUGAAAUGCGUAGAUAUCAGGAGGAACACCGGCGGCGAAGGCGGCCCUCUGGACCGUUGCUGACGCUGAGACGCGAAAGCGUGGGGAGCAAACAGG